AGUUUGAUCCUGGCUCAGAACGAACGCUGGCGGCAUGCCUAACACAUGCAAGUCGAACGAUUGCCUUCGGGUGAUAGUGGCGCACGGGUGCGUAACGCGUGGGAAUCUGCCCUUAGGUUCGGAAUAACAGUUAGAAAUGACUGCUAAUACCGGAUGAUGACGUUAAGUCCAAAGAUUUAUCGCCUAGGGAUGAGCCCGCGUAGGAUUAGCUAGUUGGUGUGGUAAAGGCGCACCAAGGCGACGAUCCUUAGCUGGUCUGAGAGGAUGAUCAGCCACACUGGGACUGAGACACGGCCCAGACUCCUACGGGAGGCAGCAGUAGGGAAUAUUGGACAAUGGGGGCAACCCUGAUCCAGCAAUGCCGCGUGAGUGAUGAAGGCCUUAGGGUUGUAAAGCUCUUUUACCCGGGAUGAUAAUGACAGUACCGGGAGAAUAAGCCCCGGCUAACUCCGUGCCAGCAGCCGCGGUAA
RNAcentral lists this ribosomal RNA (470 nucleotides) under uncultured bacterium. Its description in RNAcentral is "bacterial SSU rRNA". It matches the Rfam family "Bacterial small subunit ribosomal RNA", at positions 10 to 523 of the family's 1533-position model. The record is from RNAcentral.